This 86-nucleotide transfer RNA is filed under the name Chloroflexota bacterium. RNAcentral's name for it is "Chloroflexi bacterium tRNA-Leu". It matches the Rfam family "tRNA". From Rfam's summary of the family: Transfer RNA (tRNA) molecules are approximately 80 nucleotides in length. Their secondary structure includes four short double-helical elements and three loops (D, anti-codon, and T loops). Lineage: Bacteria; Bacillati; Chloroflexota. The record is from RNAcentral. RNAcentral also lists the same sequence under 1 other name.
GCAGGGGUUCCCGAGUCGGUCAAAGGGGCCGGACUUAAGCUCCGGUGCAAAGUGCUUCGCAGGUUCGAAUCCUGCCCCCUGCACCA